The sequence is a small RNA, 54 nucleotides long. It matches the Rfam family "Xanthomonas sRNA sX9", at positions 1 to 54 of the family's 76-position model.
AUGUACCACUCGUACACUGCGGUUCCGGCGCGCCGCCCGCGCCCCCCUGGCGGC